This 82-nucleotide transfer RNA is filed under the name Methylobacterium radiotolerans. RNAcentral's name for it is "tRNA-Leu". Lineage: Bacteria; Pseudomonadati; Pseudomonadota; Alphaproteobacteria; Hyphomicrobiales; Methylobacteriaceae. The record is from RNAcentral.
CGACGAUGGCGUACCCGGUCGACGCAUCCGCUAUGAGGUGGCGGCGGUCGGACAGGGUCAGCGCGACGCCGACGUCGUCGCC